AUUGUGUAAAUUGUGCUGC
Molecule: non-coding RNA, 19 nt
Filed under: Rattus norvegicus (Norway rat)
Lineage: Eukaryota; Metazoa; Chordata; Mammalia; Rodentia; Muridae
Source: RNAcentral